CCUACGGGAGGCAGCAGUGGGGAAUUUUGGACAAUGGGCGCAAGCCUGAUCCAGCAAUGCCGCGUGAGUGAAGAAGGCCUUCGGGUUGUAAAGCUCUUUUGUCAGGGAAGAAACGGUGGUUCCUAAUACGGACUACUAAUGACGGUACCUGAAGAAUAAGCACCGGCUAACUACGUGCCAGCAGCCGCGGUAAUACGUAGGGUGCAAGCGUUAAUCGGAAUUACUGGGCGUAAAGCGUGCGCAGGCGGUUAUAUAAGUCAGAUGUGAAAUCCCCGGGCUCAACCUGGGAACUGCAUUUGAGACUGUAUGGCUAGAGCGUGUCAGAGGGGGGUAGAAUUCCACGUGUAGCAGUGAAAUGCGUAGAUAUGUGGAGGAAUACCGAUGGCGAAGGCAGCCCCCUGGGAUAACACUGACGCUCAUGCACGAAAGCGUGGGGAGCAAACAGGAUUAGAUACCCUGGUAGUCCACGCCCUAAACGAUGUCUACUAGUUGUUGGGUCUUAAAUUGACUUAGUAACGCAGCUAACGCGUGAAGUAGACCGCCUGGGGAGUACGGGUCGCGAAGAUUUAAAACUUAAUUAGUUAAGUUAGAGGCGUUGAGAGNGCGACGGACGACGACGAGGGAGGAGG
This 629-nucleotide ribosomal RNA is filed under the name uncultured bacterium. Its description in RNAcentral is "bacterial SSU rRNA". It matches the Rfam family "Bacterial small subunit ribosomal RNA", at positions 338 to 1414 of the family's 1533-position model. The record is from RNAcentral.